GACGUAGGGCGCGAGCGUUGUCCGGAUUUAUUGGGCGUAAAGAGCUCGUAGGCGGUUUGUCGCGUCUGCUGUGAAAACGCGAGGCUCAACCUCGCGCCUGCAGUGGGUACGGGCAGACUAGAGUGCGGUAGGGGAGAUUGGAAUUCCGGGUGUAGCGGUGGAAUGCGUAGAGAUCCGGAAGAACACCAGUGGCGAAGGCGGCCCGCUGGGCAGUGGCUGACGCUGAGGCGCGACAGCGUGGGGAGCAAACAGG
RNAcentral lists this ribosomal RNA (253 nucleotides) under uncultured bacterium. Its description in RNAcentral is "partial 16S ribosomal RNA". It matches the Rfam family "Bacterial small subunit ribosomal RNA", at positions 524 to 776 of the family's 1533-position model. The record is from RNAcentral.